Molecule: non-coding RNA, 26 nt
Filed under: Mus musculus (house mouse)
Lineage: Eukaryota; Metazoa; Chordata; Mammalia; Rodentia; Muridae
Also listed under: 1 other name
Source: RNAcentral
AUCAUGAAUGAGAAGCCUCAGAAAAA